UGCCAGCCGCCGCGGUAAUACGGAGGGUGCAAACGUUGCUCGGAUUUACUGGGCGUAAAGGGAGCGCAGGCGGCUUGUUAAGUCUGAUGUGAAAGCCCGGGGCUCAACCUCGGAACUGCAUUGGAUACUGGCAAGCUUGAGUAUGUUAGAGGAGAGCGGAAUACCUGGUGUAGCGGUGAAAUGCGUUGAGAUCAGGUGGAACACCGGUGGCGAAGGCGGCUCUCUGGGGCAUUACUGACGCUGAGGCUCGAAAGCGUGGGGAUCAAACAGGAUUAGAUA
RNAcentral lists this ribosomal RNA (279 nucleotides) under uncultured bacterium. Its description in RNAcentral is "partial 16S ribosomal RNA". It matches the Rfam family "Bacterial small subunit ribosomal RNA", at positions 506 to 784 of the family's 1533-position model. The record is from RNAcentral.